Molecule: long non-coding RNA, 7171 nt
Filed under: Malus domestica (apple)
Lineage: Eukaryota; Viridiplantae; Streptophyta; Magnoliopsida; Rosales; Rosaceae
Description: long non-coding RNA (MDOM_LNC009809)
Source: RNAcentral
CCUCAGUCCCUCCUCGUAAUUUAAGCAACAACCAUGCAUUUGCACAUGGAGACCAGCAUUGGUUGCUUUAUUUACCUGAUCACUCAAGUUGUAAUAAUAGAUACGUACUCGGUAUAUGUUCUUUUGACUACAAGAAAGAGGAGUUUUACUCGACUAUUCCUCUUCCCGAGCACAUGCAAAGUAAGUAUACUCCGCACUAUAUGGUCCUUUUGUGUCUUCACUUGCUUAAUCUUAAAGGACCUUUGGCCGUCGUGGACACUUUAUCAGAUGACUAUAUUGAGGUAUGGGUGUUGAAGAACUAUGAUACAAAAGAAUGGAGGCUAGAUUACAAGAUAGAAAACGCAAUUGUCAGAGGCGAGCUUAUUAACGUGACAUGUUGUGAAUGGGAGUAUGGCAUAUUCUUCACUAAAUCACAAGAGAUGCCAGAAAGUAUAAGGAUUACUAUCUUUGUGGAUUUUAGAUGUGGCUCCAUUAGUCAUGUAAACUUAUUUCCACCCAAACGCUAUUGGAAUACAAGCAUCUUGAGCUAUAAUGGGACCUUAAUGUCCCUAAAAAAUUAUGGGAAAUUGGUGAGACCUGACCCUACUACUGGAAGCAUCAGUGUCUAGUAACGGGAAAUUUGCCGGCAUUGUUUGAUGCAGCUGCAACUGCAAGGUAAGGAAAACUUGCGAUGUUGACGUUUUGGUGGACCGUUCCAUUGUAAUGCUUUUAUUGUUUUCCAGACUUGUGAUUUGUUUUGUUUCUCAUUUGAUGUUGUGAGUGAUGCAAAGGUUAUACAUUAGAUAAGUCUGCUUUCAUUUAUGUUUUAUAUAAAAACUGUGUUUUAUAUAAUUGGAUUUUGAAAGAUAAUUGAUUAUAUAAGCAAAAGCUAUGAACUAUAAAUUAAGAAUUUCUUAUAGAUCUUCCAGAGAGAGCAACGUUUCAAACAAUUUCAUAGACCAAAUAAAAAAAAUGAAAAAUACUGUCAUGGAAUUCGAAAACCACAGAAGAGCUUAAACCCUAAACCCUAAACCACAGAAGAGCCUUAUCUGAGAUAGAGUAAGGUCCGGUUCUGGUGGCACCCUGCAGAUCUUCCAACCAUAAUGUGGCUGCUAUGCGUCAAAUUUGAUGGGUCAAAGCUUGGCAUGUCUUUAAUGUCAUCAGGCGGUAAGCUGGAAAAGUUUAUCCUUAAGUAGUUCAUUUUCAAGAACUUGUAGAUCUUCCAACCAUGAUGUGGCUGCAGCCUUAUUUUUCACCUUUUUAAGCUCCUCUUCCGCCUUUUCCAAUUCCUUUUCAAGGGCUUUCUCACUCUCUUCAGUUAAGGAUACAAGUUUCAGAGAUGCUAGAUACUCUGGAUUGUCUUCGAAACCUUGAUGUUUAUAUAUUUCAGCAAAUCAUCUUUCUUCUGCAUGUUGUCCUUUGAUAGAAUGAUGUUUCCCUGACGGUAUCUCUUAACAAAAUGAAGCUCCGUUCUCGCUUUCAAAGCCUUAUCGGCGUGCUUCUUUUGAAGAUUUGUCUGCAUGCAUGAUAGAAAAUCAGUUAACAGAUAGCAAAACAUCAAUUCUCACCAAUCUAGUCUCAUAUCGUUCAAUUCCAAAAAUGAACUCACCAAUCUGCUCUUGUAUUUGUCAAUUCCAUAUUUAUAAAAUUCCUGAAGAACUGCAGUCACGAUAAAAAAAUUAAAAUCAGGUUAUAUACGUUUUUACAGCAAAUACAAAAUAAUAAUAGUAAUAAUAAUGUUAUGUCAUACGCUUAAGCCGGCCGUCUUCGUCAAACAAGACCAUGUUCGAAGUCUUUAUUUUCUUUCCAAGUUUGAACUUUUUUUCCAAACCCUCUUGCUCGGCUUCCCUAAGUUGUUUACCAGACCGCUUGACACGGAUGUCUAUUGGACUCGUAUCAUCUCCGUAUUUUUUGUACCCCUGGAGCAUGUAUUACUGUUUUAUUAGAAACUGAAAAUAAUCAUAAAAUUACAAACCAAAUUUUGAUGUUAACUUUUGUCAGGAAAAUUUUACCUUAAUGAAAGGAUCUUUGGCCUCUGCAUUGUGUUCGGCCACUGAAUUAAGAAAUUUCAAAUACUUGUCCGUCCACUUAUGGAUUGGCAACUCUGUAAUCUUUAACAUUCCGUUGCUUUCUUGUAUGCACACGUAAGAGGUGUAGUCGCGGUCACCCGAUUGGCUAACCUCAAUCCUUCCACGAAAACCUUUAUACCACGGGCACAUUUCCACCGGCAGUUUUUCCAUGUUCCCUUCGUAGGCAAUUAAAUGCAUCAUGUUCUUGAUGAUGUGUAUUGGGUGGUAAUUGGGGACAUUGGUACUCCACCCAACUCCAAUUCCUUCACACCAUUCACAAGGACCAUGGGUAUUAUUGGAAAAUACCUACAUGGCAAACAAAAAAAUCAUCCCAAAGAAAACAAUUUCAAUAAUUUACCACCAAAACUUUUAAAGAAGGAAGGAAGAGUAAUGUUAGUAAAAAUAUUGAAACAAACUACAUACCUUCCAGGUUUAACUUCUUCUUUGCCUCGUUCAUCUGAGCUUUCAUCAUCAAGGAAAAUCAAUCUUGUAAUACGAGAAAGCUCAAUAUGUAGAUAACGAGGUGCUGAUUGGUCUUCACCCCCCUAAAAGUAGAAAGGAAAAAGGAACAUAUGUGUGUAAAACAAAAGAUUGUCAUGGAAUUUAAGAGUUACAUUACGCAUGAUGAACGUCAUUCAAGCUUGUUCAAUAAGUGACAUUUUUACCUGGCCCCGUGUUCCAUAAUUGCCAUGGGGAAUAAAGAGAUUGACAUUGUUGCUUCCCACAUAAUUUCGAGUCAUUCCCAUAAUUAUGCUGGCGACAUUACUUGAACUAUGGUGAUCGACAGACUUAGAAAACGUUUCCAAUUUUGUUAUUCCAAUUAACUUAUUCUUCAAAGCGCAGAACAAAAUCUUCCUUUGACCAGGUUUCAAUCCAUCAGCUAUUGAUGGAAUCGUCCUUUUCAGAGCAACAAUGCAAUACUUAAUAUACAUUUUGUUAAAAAAUUCAGUAUAGUUUUUAUGCAUCUCCUCAUCCUCAUCGUCGUGAUUUUCCUCAUCCUCAUCCUCAUCAUUAACUUGGUUACAAUCGAGCAAUGGGGUAUCACUAUUACAUAUGGCAGAAUUGACCAAACUUAACGAUUUAAGUGUAAAAUGGCUAAGAACUUAAUUUUCAUUCCUACAAGUCAAUUGUACAGCUAUGGAAGGGGAAAUACAAACCAAUCAAUUAUAACAGUAUAACGCCUAAUCUAAUUCCUUUGAAGGUAUGGAUUGUGAUCGUGAUCACGAUUCAAUUUUAACAUUAAGUCCAAUGAAUUUGGUGAGAUUAUCCUGCAUCAUAAAGAAAAAUCCUCUGCAUUUGCAUACAAUACACAAAAUAAAUCCCUUGAAAAAUACAAUAAUAGAAAACAACUACUAUAACACCUCUAAGGGUGCGUAGCCCAAGUGAAUAAAAAAAAAUGCCUCAAGCGAGCGGCUUAGUGAGUAUAAUGAAGCUAGUAUAAUCAUAUAAUAUAUUAUAUACUAUUUAAUGCACAUAUUAAUGUAUGCAACAUUGCUCAAAUAAAAAGUUAUUUGACUAAACGAAUCAACACCACUCCACGUACCAAAGGAGAGGUAAAUUUUUAUUUUGUCAUUUUAAAUAUUUGGCGUCUUUUAUGGUCAAUUCAAUAAAGGACAUAUGCAUCCAACAAAAGAAAAAUAAAUGAUAAGCACACAAUCUACGUAAUCUUUCACACAUCUCUUAAUCUUGACUUUUAUUUUUUAUAAUUUAUUCUAUUUAGUUGUUAAAAAUAAAAAGUAACGUGCAAGAAGAUAAAAAUGGUUCGAAAAUAAUUUUACAAACAAAUACAGGGCAUAGUGGAAAAGUAAUUUUCUUUUAAUUUAGUGGGUGGGGCAUGUGACCUUUUCUCACCAAAAAAUAAAAAAAUAAAAAACUGUGGGCGGGAAGAGUAACAGUCGGAGUAUAAACAGAAACUCCGAAGAGAACGAGUGCGCUUGGGCCUUCAGCAACCGUGACUUUAGCAGUCUCGACGACUGUCUCACGAAAUUCACCACCGCCGGUACGCCGCCGUGGUUGCACGUCAGAGCACCAAACGUCCAGAGCCAAAGCCCGCACCUUCUCUCUGACGCUCUCACCGGUUAUGCGAGGCAAGGUAUUAAUCUCAAACUUGACAAGUAUAUGCUUUGCAUUCUGCAAUACGCCUCUUGUCUUUGGCUUUGUUUCCGUUGUGUCUCCAAAAAUUUUAGUAAUUUUACACUCCGUUAAGUAGUUCACUCGCUGUUUACAUUUCGAAUGCAGUGUAACUGUUUGUGAAAAGUUGCGAGUGGCAGGUGGGUUGGAGACUUUCGAGUUUCCAGUUCAUUUUUUUAGAUGAAUUAUGGUGCUGAGGUGUAGUGGGAGGCACUGAGUCUGAGGGGGAACAUGCUUAAUCGGUUAAGUCGGCUGUUGCUUUUGCACUGCUGCUCCGAGGCCAUGGCUAUUUGUAGGUUUGGGCAAUCCCGGUGAUAAGUACCAAGGAACUAGGCACAAUGUACUAUUCCAGAUUAUACUUUUAGUGGCUACAAUUUGAAAUUUUUUCAAAUCUUAAUUUAAUUACACCCUUCUAAAUUAAAGAGAAAUUAGAAUGUCUUGCAAUUUUUCCAUUUCAACGUAUCUACGUAAUUAAUUGUAACAAUUAAUAUUGUGUUCAUGAAUCAAAUGUACUGAAUAUUCAACAGGAUCCUCUUCGGAUCCUUUUGAUGAGAAUCCUCUAUGAAUCGCGUCCAUUCAUCGUGCAUUGUACGGUCAAUUUUUGUCAAGUACUGUUUGUAUUUAAUUUUAAAUAAAAAUAUUUAAAAUGAGAUAUGACCGCACGAUAUAUGAUGAACAUACACGAUUAAUGGAUACCUGAGAUCUUCAUAAAGAGAAUACCGAGAUGAUCCAUUCUCACUGAACAUUAGCAACAAGUACAAUAACUUUCAGCGGCCCAAACCGAAAAAAAAAAAUUGAAAUCAAGAACCACAUUAAAAGUCAAACUUAUCAGUAAAACUGUAAAAGAGAAUCGUGUUAGUUAAUGACAAUAUUCCUUGACUUCCGUCAUUUUCCGUGACGUGAGGGAUACGCAAUAGUUGGAUCCUUCAAUUGCCCACCUCGGACCUCUCUCCCACUUCUUUUUACUCUGCUUUUUCUCUUUUACCUGCCUAAUUUGUUUCUGUCUCCGUCUGCUUGCUUCUGUUGUUUCCUGCGCUAACACCGCAAUCGCCGAAAUGCCCAACAGGAAGCCAAGGGCCAGCCGAAGGGCACUCAAGGACAAAAACCCAUCUGGAAAUGCAGCCAAUAUCCUCGCAGGAAAGGUCUUGGAUGCCGCUCCGAGCCCGAUCCAAACACCAUGGGACUCCAACCCAGAGAAGGAGAACCACGCGAGCCUCUCUCAGACUCGCACCUCCCCCAAGAAGUCAGCCAAAGCUGCGGCUUCUAAGAAACAGGCCAAGCAGAAGAAGACCCAACCGUCGUCAUUCGAGAAAGAACUCGAAGAAAUGCAAGAGAAGCUGCAAGCGAUGAAGCUCGAGAAGGAGAAACCCUUUGAGCUCUUGAAGGAGAAGAAUGAGAUCUUGAAGACCAAGGAGGAAGAUCUAGCAAUGAAGAUCUCGGCAAUGAAGGGCGAGAGCAGAGCAAGACAAGCUUCAGAUGGAGUUGAAGAAGCUGCAGAAGCUCAAGGAGUUCAAACCCACCGUGGUCUGUUUCUUGAUCCCCUUUCUUUUCUUCAUUUGCGUCCUUAUUUCUUCCUGUGUUGCAUUAUCCUCUGUUUGGAUGCUGAGAAAAUAUAUUAUGGAUCUGAAGUUUGGUUGGGUGAUUCUUACUUUUGGGUUCUCAAAUUUGUUUGGUUACUUGUCAAUUGUAAAAAAAAAUAGAAAAAAAAAUCCAUGAGGGUUCUUAUUUAUAUGUUCUUAGGGUUUUUGUUCUCGAUCCCCUUUCCUGGAAUUCGUAAUUUUGGGAUCCCAGCUUUUGCAUACAAUCUACUUUUGGGAUCCCUCACGUGCAGGCUAACGGGAAAGGAUUGAAGUUAAGUUUUGGGGCAUACAUCCGAAUAGAUUUUACCACGAAGGUUCAAAUCCGAAUUUUUUUAACACAGGAUUAUUAUUCCGUAUAUAUCUCUCUCUCAUGCAGUCGUUAUCUUUGCAAGUAAUUCUUUAUUCAAUUGGUUUUUAUUUUUUGGUCUUGGUUUUUCAAUUUUUAUGCUUGCAGUUCAAAAUUUCAUACUCUUUUUUGUUUCCCUUCAGGUGGAAAUGGAAAUGGAAAUGGAUAUGGUGAGGAGCAAUCAGAGGAGAUUGGGGUACUGCUGCAUGAACAAUGCAAGGCUGAUGGAGCUCCCCAUCGAAAUCUUUGACAACAUCUAUUUGAGGCUACCCAUAAGCUGUCUUUUUACCCUUAGAUGUGUCUCUAAUACAUCAAAGAACAUAGUCGACCGCCCUUUCUUUGUUACACAGCACAUGCGACAUUUACUUUGGGCGAAAUCUACUUUUGCUUCCGAUCAGUUUAUGCUUCUUGAUUACCUUUUCUCUUACUCUUAUCGUAGAUUUGCCUUUACACCACUAAAAUAUGAUGGCGUCAACGCUGCCUUGAAGAGAAGCGAAGAUUGUGCAAUCGUUUCUGAUAUUGUGUCCACAAAGAUCGGUGUUUCAUAUUCUUUGAGUUUUGUUUUCUACAACUUGUUUUUCUUUCAAGAUAAUGGCUAUAGUCGUCGUCAACCGUACAAGAAGAAAGAAAGAAGUCCAUGCUUCUUAGUCAAUCCUUUAAAGGGAGAAGUUCUUCCACUCCCAACCACUGACAUCCAAUUUCCAUAUAGUUUUUAUAGAUCGUGCAAGGAAUGGUAUGGUAUGGGAUUUGAUGAUAUAACCAGCACUUACAAGAUUCUCCGUGUUUCUGGAGAUGAAGAUUCGACGAUAUGUCAACUUAGGGCCCAAAUUUAUGUACUAGGUACCGGCUCGUGGCGAGAGAUACCCUCAGUCCCUCCUCGUAAUUUAAGCAACAACCAUGCAUUUGCACAUGGAGACCAGCAUUGGUUGCUUUAUUUACCUGAUCACUCAAGUUGUAAUAAUAGAAACGCACUCGGUAUAUGUUCUUUUGACUACAAGAAAGAGGAGUUUUACUCGACUAUUCCUCUUCCCCGAGCACAUGCAAAGUAAGUAUACUCCGCACUAUCU